Molecule: long non-coding RNA, 416 nt
Organism: Limulus polyphemus (Atlantic horseshoe crab)
Lineage: Eukaryota; Metazoa; Arthropoda; Merostomata; Xiphosura; Limulidae
Exons: 3
Source: RefSeq, a predicted model, not a curated record
AGAAAAAAGCCACUAGAUUAGCUGAACUUGAAUCUCAUUAUGACGACGUUCACCGCCAUCUACAGGAAGCUAAUGAACUUUUAGCUUCGUCACAGCGUACAUGUAAGACCCUGCAGGAAGAAGUUAACAAUUUAAAGCGUGUUAUGGACUAUGGAUCCAACAGUUGCAAGUAAUUUAAUCAUCCUCACCCUGUGAAGCUUCGAGCCAAACACCCUUACGAGUGGACGCUAUCGACCCCGUGAAUUGAUAAAUUAGUUUUAGGACUUCCGAUUUUAAAUUUCUUUUGUGACGUGUAAAACAUCCGACUGGCUGUUUUUUCUUUCUGCAUGUUUUAGGGUUAAGCUUUCACUACUUACACAGUAUGAUCACAUGUAGUAUUCGAGUUAAGAGAAAUAAAAGAUGCAGUAAAAACUGUC